Molecule: transfer RNA, 71 nt
Filed under: Bos taurus (domestic cattle)
Lineage: Eukaryota; Metazoa; Chordata; Mammalia; Artiodactyla; Bovidae
Also listed under: 3 other names
Rfam family: tRNA
About the family: Transfer RNA (tRNA) molecules are approximately 80 nucleotides in length. Their secondary structure includes four short double-helical elements and three loops (D, anti-codon, and T loops).
Source: Rfam by way of RNAcentral
UCCCUUGUGGCUCAGCUGGUAAAGUAUCUGCCUGGAAUGCAGGAGACCUGGGUUCAAUCCCUGGGUUGGAA